RNAcentral lists this ribosomal RNA (254 nucleotides) under uncultured bacterium. Its description in RNAcentral is "partial 16S ribosomal RNA". It matches the Rfam family "Bacterial small subunit ribosomal RNA", at positions 524 to 776 of the family's 1533-position model. The record is from RNAcentral.
UACGUAGGGGGCGAGCGUUGUCCGGAUUUAUUGGGCGUAAAGAGCUCGUAGGCGGUUUGGUAAGUUGGAUGUGAAAUCUCCAGGCUCAACUUGGAGGGGUCAUUCGAUACUGCCAUGACUAGAGUUCGGUAGGGGAGUGUGGAAUUCCUGGUGGAGCGGUGAAAUGCGCAGAUAUCAGGAGGAACACCCGUAGCGAAGGCGGCGCGCUGGGCCGGAACUGACGCUGAGGAGCGAAAGCGUGGGGAGCGAACAGG